ACGCUCGACACCUACGGGAGCAGCAGUGGGGAAUAUUGGGCAAUGGGCGAAAGCCUGACCCAGCAACGCCGCGUGAGGGAAGAAGGUUUUCGGAUUGUAAACCUCUGUCCUCAGGGACGAAGGACGUGACGGUACCUGAGGAGGAAGCCCCGGCUAACUACGUGCCAGCAGCCGCGGUAAUCUGAGGCGGGCGUGGCGAAGGC
This 203-nucleotide ribosomal RNA is filed under the name uncultured bacterium. RNAcentral describes it as "partial 16S ribosomal RNA". It matches the Rfam family "Bacterial small subunit ribosomal RNA", at positions 328 to 538 of the family's 1533-position model. The record is from RNAcentral.